RNAcentral lists this ribosomal RNA (2928 nucleotides) under Cronobacter sakazakii. RNAcentral describes it as "23S ribosomal RNA". It matches the Rfam family "Bacterial large subunit ribosomal RNA". The record is from RNAcentral. Lineage: Bacteria; Pseudomonadati; Pseudomonadota; Gammaproteobacteria; Enterobacterales; Enterobacteriaceae.
GGGUUGUGAGGUUAAGCGAACAAGCGUACACGGUGGAUGCCCUGGCAGUCAGAGGCGAUGAAGGACGUGCUAAUCUGCGAAAAGCGCCGGUAAGGUGAUAUGAACCGUUAUAACCGGCGAUGUCCGAAUGGGGAAACCCGGUGCACUUCGGUGCAUCAUCGUUAGCUGAAUACAUAGGCUAACGAGGCGAACCGGGGGAACUGAAACAUCUAAGUACCCCGAGGAAAAGAAAUCAACCGAGAUUCCCCCAGUAGCGGCGAGCGAACGGGGAACAGCCCAGAGCCUGAAUCAGCUUGUGUGUCAGUGGAACGGUCUGGAAAGGCCGGCGAUACAGGGUGACAGCCCCGUACACGAAGGCACACAGGCUGUGAGCUCGAUGAGUAGGGCGGGACACGUGAUAUCCUGUCUGAAGAUGGGGGGACCAUCCUCCAAGGCUAAAUACUCCUGACUGACCGAUAGUGAACCAGUACCGUGAGGGAAAGGCGAAAAGAACCCCGGCGAGGGGAGUGAAACAGAACCUGAAACCGUGUACGUACAAGCAGUGGGAGCCUUCGUAAGAGGGUGACUGCGUACCUUUUGUAUAAUGGGUCAGCGACUUAUAUUCUGUAGCAAGGUUAACCGUAUAGGGGAGCCGAAGGGAAACCGAGUCUUAAUUGGGCGUUAAGUUGCAGGGUAUAGACCCGAAACCCGGUGAUCUAGCCAUGGGCAGGUUGAAGGUUGGGUAACACUAACUGGAGGACCGAACCGACUAAUGUUGAAAAAUUAGCGGAUGACCUGUGGCUGGGGGUGAAAGGCCAAUCAAACCGGGAGAUAGCUGGUUCUCCCCGAAAGCUAUUUAGGUAGCGCCUCGUGAACUCAUCUCCGGGGGUAGAGCACUGUUUCGGCUAGGGGGCCAUCCCGGCUUACCAACCCGAUGCAAACUGCGAAUACCGGAGAAUGUUAUCACGGGAGACACACGGCGGGUGCUAACGUCCGUCGUGAAGAGGGAAACAACCCAGACCGCCAGCUAAGGUCCCAAAGUCAUGGUUAAGUGGGAAACGAUGUGGGAAGGCCCAGACAGCCAGGAUGUUGGCUUAGAAGCAGCCAUCAUUUAAAGAAAGCGUAAUAGCUCACUGGUCGAGUCGGCCUGCGCGGAAGAUGUAACGGGGCUAAACCAUGCACCGAAGCUGCGGCAGCGACGCUUAUGCGUUGUUGGGUAGGGGAGCGUUCUGUAAGCCUGUGAAGGUGUGCUGUGAGGCAUGCUGGAGGUAUCAGAAGUGCGAAUGCUGACAUAAGUAACGAUAAAGCGGGUGAAAAGCCCGCUCGCCGGAAGACCAAGGGUUCCUGUCCAACGUUAAUCGGGGCAGGGUGAGUCGACCCCUAAGGCGAGGCCGAAAGGCGUAGUCGAUGGGAAACAGGUUAAUAUUCCUGUACUUGGUGUUACUGCGAAGGGGGGACGGAGAAGGCUAUGUCAGCCGGGCGACGGUUGUCCCGGUUUAAGCGUGUAGGCUGACUUUCCAGGCAAAUCCGGAGAGUUAAGGCUGAGGCGUGAUGACGAGGCACCACGGUGCUGAAGUGACAAAUGCCCUGCUUCCAGGAAAAGCCUCUAAGCAUCAGGUAACAUCAAAUCGUACCCCAAACCGACACAGGUGGUCAGGUAGAGAAUACCAAGGCGCUUGAGAGAACUCGGGUGAAGGAACUAGGCAAAAUGGUGCCGUAACUUCGGGAGAAGGCACGCUGACAUGUAGGUGAAGCCCCUGCGGGUGGAGCUGAAGUCAGUCGAAGAUACCAGCUGGCUGCAACUGUUUAUUAAAAACACAGCACUGUGCAAACACGAAAGUGGACGUAUACGGUGUGACGCCUGCCCGGUGCCGGAAGGUUAAUUGAUGGGGUUAUCGCAAGAGAAGCUCCUGAUCGAAGCCCCGGUAAACGGCGGCCGUAACUAUAACGGUCCUAAGGUAGCGAAAUUCCUUGUCGGGUAAGUUCCGACCUGCACGAAUGGCGUAAUGAUGGCCAGGCUGUCUCCACCCGAGACUCAGUGAAAUUGAACUCGCUGUGAAGAUGCAGUGUACCCGCGGCAAGACGGAAAGACCCCGUGAACCUUUACUACAGCUUGACACUGAACAUUGAGCCUUGAUGUGUAGGAUAGGUGGGAGGCUUUGAAGCGUGGACGCCAGUCUGCGUGGAGCCAACCUUGAAAUACCACCCUUUAAUGUUUGAUGUUCUAACCUGGCGCCGUGAUCCGGCGUGGGGACAGUGUCUGGUGGGUAGUUUGACUGGGGCGGUCUCCUCCCAAAGUGUAACGGAGGAGCACGAAGGUCAGCUAAUCCUGGUCGGACAUCAGGAGGUUAGUGCAAUGGCAUAAGCUGGCUUGACUGCGAGAGUGACGGCUCGAGCAGGUGCGAAAGCAGGUCAUAGUGAUCCGGUGGUUCUGUAUGGAAGGGCCAUCGCUCAACGGAUAAAAGGUACUCCGGGGAUAACAGGCUGAUACCGCCCAAGAGUUCAUAUCGACGGCGGUGUUUGGCACCUCGAUGUCGGCUCAUCACAUCCUGGGGCUGAAGUAGGUCCCAAGGGUAUGGCUGUUCGCCAUUUAAAGUGGUACGCGAGCUGGGUUUAGAACGUCGUGAGACAGUUCGGUCCCUAUCUGCCGUGGGCGCUGGAGAAUUGAGGGGGGCUGCUCCCAGUACGAGAGGACCGGAGUGGACGCAUCACUGGUGUUCGGGUUGUCAUGCCAAUGGCACUGCCCGGUAGCUAAAUGCGGAAGAGAUAAGUGCUGAAAGCAUCUAAGCACGAAACUUGCCCCGAGAUGAGUUCUCCCUGAGACUUUAAGUCUCCUGAAGGAACGUUGAAGACGACGACGUUGAUAGGCCGGGUGUGUAAGCGCAGCGAUGCGUUGAGCUAACCGGUACUAAUGAACCGUGAGGCUUAACCUUACAACGCCAAAGAAGU